Peromyscus maniculatus bairdii (prairie deer mouse) is the source of this 1203-nucleotide non-coding RNA. NCBI's taxonomy places the organism in Eukaryota, Metazoa, Chordata, Mammalia, Rodentia, Cricetidae. The record is from RefSeq and is a predicted model, not a curated record.
CCUUAGUUUUAGGGUGAAAGCAUUUUGGUCUUAUUUCUAAGAUGGCUCAUUUUGGUCUCACACUUUCUUCCUUUAUAAUAGCGAGAUGAUAUCUGAAAUUGUAUUCUGCUGUACUUUUAAUAUCUCCUUCCUGAAGACCAUCACUCCAUCCUUAUGAAUGAGACAGUGUCUGGCAGCUGCUCGAACAGCAUCAGAAGCAGCACAGAGCCAGCGCCAAUCCUCAGUGAGGCAGGGUAUUCCAGGAUAAGAGCACUGCUAAAAACCAACAAGCAUCACAUGACAGCAUCGCAGGAACAGCCUACAUGAGGAUCCAGAUUCAGUUUCCAGUAGUUAAGAAAAGAAAAGGAAAACAAAAGAAAACCUCCAAGUUGCUGGAAUCUUGGAAUGAACUGUGUAUUUUAACUGUUGGUACUUAGACAUUGUGACCCCCAUUAGUGAUUGUUGCAGCUUAAAUGUGAACGUCCCCUUGUAGUUUCACAUGUUUGAACCCUUGGUCCCAGCUGGUGGUGUGCUUUGGGAAGGCUAUGCGCUUUUAAGGGGUAGACCCUCUGGCAGGCCUUAAGGAGAUCCCACUUCCUGUUUUCUCUGUGCUUCCUGUGUGUGGAUGACCCGCCAGCCUCCUGGGGCCAUAUCUCUCCAGCCAUGAUGGAGUGCACCCUACUAGAACUGUAAGCAAAAAUAACCCCUUCUCCCUUAAAUUACCUUUGUGGGGUAUUUUAUCCCAGCAACAAAAAAAGUGGCCAAGACAAAGACCAAAUUAGGGAAGCUUCAAAUAAUUUCAAAAGGGCACAGCUUCAGUCUUAUGCCAGGUGCUGUCCCCAUGCGGAGAGCAAAUGCAGCCACUUUGUUUGUUCAGAACAGAACCUCUCUAAGAACCCACAUUGACCUGGAGUUCAACAUGCAGCCUAGGCUGACCGUAAGCCGGAGAUCCCAGCCUAAGCUCCCAGAUUCUAAGACUGCAAACCCAGUUUCAGGUCUGUUUUCUUGAUUAGUGUUUCUUUUAAAUGUAUUUGUUUUGGUUUUCACGUAAGAAUAGAUUGCACAUUGAGUAUAUCUCUUCAUUUUCUCCACCCUCUCCCCUCUCAUUGAUGCCCUGGAGCAGUGGUUCUCACCCUUCCCAAUGCUGUGACCCUUUAAUACAGUUCCUCAUGUUGUGGUGACCCCCAAACAUAAAAUAUUUUUGUUGCUACUUCAUAAUUGUAA